Molecule: long non-coding RNA, 219 nt
Filed under: Zostera marina
Lineage: Eukaryota; Viridiplantae; Streptophyta; Magnoliopsida; Alismatales; Zosteraceae
Description: long non-coding RNA (ZMAR_LNC005570)
Source: RNAcentral
UCUGUUACGGAUGGGACUUUUGCUUCUCCGAUUUCUCCCAUAUUCGAUUCCUGCCUCAACUCCGCAAGACGCACAAACAAAGAACUAUGAAGAAAAGGGAAUCUUGCGGCAGCGCGAUACGAGAUGAAAUUAGAUAGACGAUCGGAAAUGACUGAAUGGAAAUUAUGUGACCUUUCUAGGCCCAAUACUAGGUUAGAAUCUAUCUGAGCCCAUCAGGCC